ACCACAGUUCAUGGCUCAGUUGGUAGAGCAUGAGGCUCUUAAUCUCAGGGUUAUGGGUUUGAGCCCUACAUUGGGCA
RNAcentral lists this transfer RNA (77 nucleotides) under Podarcis lilfordi (Lilford's wall lizard). Its description in RNAcentral is "tRNA.Lys". It matches the Rfam family "tRNA". From Rfam's summary of the family: Transfer RNA (tRNA) molecules are approximately 80 nucleotides in length. Lineage: Eukaryota; Metazoa; Chordata; Lepidosauria; Squamata; Lacertidae. The record is from RNAcentral.